Molecule: ribosomal RNA, 508 nt
Filed under: uncultured bacterium
Lineage: Bacteria
Description: partial 16S ribosomal RNA
Rfam family: Bacterial small subunit ribosomal RNA
Source: RNAcentral
GACGAACGCUGGCGGCGUGCCUAAUACAUGCAAGUCGAACGCUUCUUUCCUCCCGAGUGCUUGCACUCAAUUGGAAAGAGGAGUGGCGGACGGGUGAGUAACACGUGGGUAACCUACCCAUCAGAGGGGGAUAACACUUGGAAACAGGUGCUAAUACCGCAUAACAGUUUAUGCCGCAUGGCAUAAGAGUGAAAGGCGCUUUCGGGUGUCGUUGAUGGAUGGACCCGCGGUGCAUUAGCUAGUUGGUGAGGGAACGGCUCACCAAGGCCACGAUGCAUAGCCGACCUGAGAGGGUGAUCGGCCACACUGGGACUGAGACACGGCCCAGACUCCUACGGGAGGCAGCAGUAGGGAAUCUUCGGCAAUGGACGAAAGUCUGACCGAGCAACGCCGCGUGAGUGAAGAAGGUGUUCGGAUCGUAAAACUCUGUUGUUAGAGAAGAACAAGGACGUUAGUAACUGAACGUCCCCUGACGGUAUCUAACCAGAAAGCCACGGCUAACUACGUG